RNAcentral lists this ribosomal RNA (608 nucleotides) under Mawia benovici. RNAcentral describes it as "partial 16S ribosomal RNA". It matches the Rfam family "Bacterial large subunit ribosomal RNA", at positions 1850 to 2605 of the family's 2925-position model. Lineage: Eukaryota; Metazoa; Cnidaria; Scyphozoa; Semaeostomeae; Pelagiidae. The record is from RNAcentral.
GGGUGCAACCUGCUCAGUGGCUUGGAAAUAAAUAAAAUAAAUACAGUUAAAUAGCCGCGGUAACUCUGACCGUGAUAAAGUAGCAUAAUCACUUGUCACUUAAUUAGUGAAUGGAAUGAAUGGUUAAACGAAUUUCUACACUUGUCUCAAUAAGAAAUCCUAUAAAAUUCGGAAUUCAUAGUGAAGAUACUAUACAAAGAUUGCAAGACGAAAAGACCCUAUUGAGCUUUACUGAAUGCUUUUAGAAACCUAAAGAGAAUAAGAAACUAUAUCUUUAUACUACUGCAAGCAAGACAGUUUGGUUGGGGCGACCACCUCUAAAAAAGUAACAGAGGAGAUCUAAAGGUUAUUAUUAUGAAUAUAAACCUCACUGAAAUAGUUAUAACUUUAACAGAUAUAAAAUCGUAGGACAUAAUGACCCGUUAUAUAAAAGCUAAAAAUAUAACGACUACAAAAAAAGUUACCAUAGGGAUAACAGGGUAAUAUUUUCUAAGAGUUCUAAUCGACGAAAAUGUUUGCCACCUCGAUGUUGAAUUGUGAUAUCCAUAGGGGUGCAGCAGCUCCUAAAGGGUUGGUCUGUUCGACCCAGCUUAAAAUCUUACAUGUUU